CCUACGGGAGACAGCAGUGGGGAAUAUUGGACAAUGGGGGGAACCCUGAUCCAGCGACGCCGCGUGAGUGAAGAAGUAUUUCGGUAUGUAAAGCUCUAUCAGCAGGGAAGAAAAUGACGGUACCUGACUAAGAAGCCCCGGCUAACUACGUGCCAGCAGCCGCGGUAAUACGUAGGGGCAAAGCGUUAUCCGGAUUUACGGGGGGAAAGGUGAGCGUAGACGGUGCAGCAAGUCUGUUGUGAAAGGUCGGGGCCCAACCCCGGGACGGCAUUGAAAACUGUUGAACAGGCGUACAGGAGAGGUAGGCGGAAUUCCGGGUGUAGCGGUGAAAGGCGUAGAUAUUAGGAGGAACACCAGUGGCGAAGGCGGCUUACUGGACUGUAACUGACGUUGAGGCUCGAAAGCGUGGGAGCAAACAGGAUUAGAUACCCUUGUAGUC
This 439-nucleotide ribosomal RNA is filed under the name uncultured bacterium. RNAcentral describes it as "partial 16S ribosomal RNA". It matches the Rfam family "Bacterial small subunit ribosomal RNA", at positions 338 to 795 of the family's 1533-position model. The record is from RNAcentral.